This 264-nucleotide ribosomal RNA is filed under the name uncultured archaeon. RNAcentral describes it as "partial 16S ribosomal RNA". It matches the Rfam family "Archaeal small subunit ribosomal RNA", at positions 717 to 982 of the family's 1478-position model. The record is from RNAcentral.
AGACGUCUACAUUAGAUACCCGUGUAGUCCCAGCCCUAAACGAUGCGCGUUAGGUGUAUCGGUGACCACGAGUCACCGAGGUGCCGAAGGGAAACCGUGAAACGUGCCGCCUGGGAAGUACGGUCGCAAGGCUGAAACUUAAAGGAAUUGGCGGGGAGCACCACAACGGGUGGAGCCUGCGGUUUAAUUGGACUCAACGCCGGGAAGCUCACCGGAUAAGACAGCGGAAUGAUUGCCGGGCUGAAGACCCUGCAUGACCAGCUG